Molecule: unclassified non-coding RNA, 382 nt
Filed under: Faramea sessilifolia
Lineage: Eukaryota; Viridiplantae; Streptophyta; Magnoliopsida; Gentianales; Rubiaceae
Description: partial external transcribed spacer
Source: RNAcentral
UAGCAUUCCUCACGGACAUCGGGCCGCCAGGCGCAUAAGGCCAAUGCGACGCCAAACGUCGUUCGGUCGAAGCGCGUUCAGCGCUAGUUUUGGGCAGACGAGGUCAGAGACCCGUUGCCUGCCGCGUGUUCCGCAUCCACGAGAUCGGGCGAGCGAUCGUGGGCCGCAACAAGAGCAAGAAACACGUGCAAAUGCCGCGGAACGCAAUCGUCACCAAAGGGUUCACCCGGAGCAAAGCCGUUUAGAACGGGCAGCGCACGAAUUUGGACAAAGGAAUUCCAUCAUCAUAGGUACGCAACACAGGAAACCGCACGCGACGGACGAGGCUAAGGUCGCUCUCGCACCAACGAUGAAGAGGAACGCACGGCAGGACGUCGCUGCC